RNAcentral lists this ribosomal RNA (1409 nucleotides) under Bacteroides thetaiotaomicron. Its description in RNAcentral is "bacterial SSU rRNA". It matches the Rfam family "Bacterial small subunit ribosomal RNA". The record is from RNAcentral. Lineage: Bacteria; Pseudomonadati; Bacteroidota; Bacteroidia; Bacteroidales; Bacteroidaceae.
GGCUACCAUGCAGGUCGAGGGGCAGCAUUUCAGUUUGCUUGCAAACUGGAGAUGGCGACCGGCGCACGGGUGAGUAACACGUAUCCAACCUGCCGAUAACUCGGGGAUAGCCUUUCGAAAGAAAGAUUAAUACCCGAUGGUAUAAUCAGACCGCAUGGUCUUGUUAUUAAAGAAUUUCGGUUAUCGAUGGGGAUGCGUUCCAUUAGGCAGUUGGUGAGGUAACGGCUCACCAAACCUUCGAUGGAUAGGGGUUCUGAGAGGAAGGUCCCCCACAUUGGAACUGAGACACGGUCCAAACUCCUACGGGAGGCAGCAGUGAGGAAUAUUGGUCAAUGGGCGCAGGCCUGAACCAGCCAAGUAGCGUGAAGGAUGACUGCCCUAUGGGUUGUAAACUUCUUUUAUAUGGGAAUAAAGUUUUCCACGUGUGGAAUUUUGUAUGUACCAUAUGAAUAAGGAUCGGCUAACUCCGUGCCAGCAGCCGCGGUAAUACGGAGGAUCCGAGCGUUAUCCGGAUUUAUUGGGUUUAAAGGGAGCGUAGGUGGACAGUUAAGUCAGUUGUGAAAGUUUGCGGCUCAACCGUAAAAUUGCAGUUGAUACUGGCUGUCUUGAGUACAGUAGAGGUGGGCGGAAUUCGUGGUGUAGCGGUGAAAUGCUUAGAUAUCACGAAGAACUCCGAUUGCGAAGGCAGCUCACUGGACUGCAACUGACACUGAUGCUCGAAAGUGUGGGUAUCAAACAGGAUUAGAUACCCUGGUAGUCCACACAGUAAACGAUGAAUACUCGCUGUUUGCGAUAUACAGUAAGCGGCCAAGCGAAAGCAUUAAGUAUUCCACCUGGGGAGUACGCCGGCAACGGUGAAACUCAAAGGAAUUGACGGGGGCCCGCACAAGCGGAGGAACAUGUGGUUUAAUUCGAUGAUACGCGAGGAACCUUACCCGGGCUUAAAUUGCAUUUGAAUAUAUUGGAAACAGUAUAGCCGUAAGGCAAAUGUGAAGGUGCUGCAUGGUUGUCGUCAGCUCGUGCCGUGAGGUGUCGGCUUAAGUGCCAUAACGAGCGCAACCCUUAUCUUUAGUUACUAACAGGUCAUGCUGAGGACUCUAGAGAGACUGCCGUCGUAAGAUGUGAGGAAGGUGGGGAUGACGUCAAAUCAGCACGGCCCUUACGUCCGGGGCUACACACGUGUUACAAUGGGGGGUACAGAAGGCAGCUACCUGGUGACAGGAUGCUAAUCCCAAAAGCCUCUCUCAGUUCGGAUCGAAGUCUGCAACCCGACUUCGUGAAGCUGGAUUCGCUAGUAAUCGCGCAUCAGCCAUGGCGCGGUGAAUACGUUCCCGGGCCUUGUACACACCGCCCGUCAAGCCAUGAAAGCCGGGGGUACCUGAAGUACGUAACCGCAAGGAGCUCCUAGG